Small nucleolar RNA from Phascolarctos cinereus (koala), 83 nucleotides. Ensembl annotates it as small nucleolar RNA, C/D box 11. The record is from Ensembl. NCBI's taxonomy places the organism in Eukaryota, Metazoa, Chordata, Mammalia, Diprotodontia, Phascolarctidae.
GUGAUCAAUGAGGAUCUUAAUUGGUUUGCCUGACUACGUUUCAGUAAUGGGGGCAACUCUAGUCACUACCUCUUCUGAGACAC